AGUUUGAUCCUGGCUCAGGAUGAACGCUGGCGGCAUGCCUAAGACAUGCAAGUCGUACGAAGGGGCCCAAUGAAAAGAAUUGAAGUUUGAAGUGCUUGCACUGAAAAUGGAUUGAAUUGGAUUUGGAUUUUCCCCUUAGUGGCAAACGGGUGAGUAACACGUGGGUUACCUGCCUCCAAGAUGGGGAUAACAGUUGGAAACGACUGAUAAUACCGAAUGUGCUCUACGGAGAUAAAGAGACGUCCUUAAGUCUUCGGCGUUGAGAGUGGCUCGCGCCUAUAGGCUAGUGGUGGGUAAUGGCCUCAACCAAGGCAACGAUGGUUAGCCCGAACUGGAGAGGUUUGAUCGGCCACACUGGAACUGAGGACCCGCCCCAGAUCUUCCUACGGGAGACAGCAGUUAGGAUAUAUUUCGUCAAUGGGGAAACCCUGAACGAAGCAAUGCCGCGUGAACGAUGACGGCCCUAUGGGUGUAAAGUUCUGUUGUUUGGAAAGAACGAUAUAUAGAGGAAAUGCUAUAUAUGUGACGGUACCAUUCAAGAAAGCACGGCUAACUACGUGCCAGCAGCCGCGGUAAUACGUAGUGGCGAGCGUUAUCCGGAUUUAUUGGGCGUAAAGGGUGCGCAGACGGUUUAUUAAGUCUAAAAUCAAAUCUUGGGGCUUAACCCCAUUCCGUUUUAGAAACUGGUAGACUUGAGUAUGGUAGAGGCAAAUGGAAUUCCUAGUGUAGCGGUGGAAUGCGUAGAUAUUAGGAGGAACACCAGUGGCGAAGGCGAUUUGCUGGGCCAUUACUGACGUUCAGGCACGAAAGCGUGGGGAGCAAAUAGGAUUAGAUACCCUAGUAGUCCACGCCGUAAACGAUGAGUACUAAGUGUCGGGUUACCGGUGCUGAAGUUAACACAUUAAGUACUCCGCCUGAGUAGUACGGUCGCAAGGCUGAAACUCGAAGGAAUUGACGGGCACCCGCACAAGCGGUGGAGCAUGCUGUUUAAUUCGAAAAUACGCGAAGAACCUUACCUAGGUUUGACAUCCCCGGCAAAGCUAUAGAAAUAUAGUGGAGGUUAUCCGGGUGACAGGUGGUGCAUGGUUGUCGUCAGCUCGUGUCGUGAGAUGUUUGGUUAAGUCCAACAACGAGCGCAACCCUCAUCAUUAGUUGCUAACAUUCAGUUGAGAACUCUAAUGAUACUGCCAGUGUAAGCUGGAGGAAGGUGGGGAUGAGGUCAAAUCAUCAUGCCCCUUACAUCUAGGGCUACAGGCGUGCUACAAUGGCCGGUACAACGAGUCGCAACACGGUGACGUGAAGCUAAUCUCUUAAAGCCGGUCCCAGUCCGGAUUGGAGUCUGCAAUUCGACUCCAUGAAGUUGGAAUCGCUAGUAAUCCCGAAUCAGAAUGUCGGGGUGAAUACGUUCCCGGGUGUUGCACACACCGCCCGUC
RNAcentral lists this ribosomal RNA (1433 nucleotides) under uncultured bacterium. RNAcentral describes it as "bacterial SSU rRNA". It matches the Rfam family "Bacterial small subunit ribosomal RNA". The record is from RNAcentral.